RNAcentral lists this ribosomal RNA (1509 nucleotides) under uncultured prokaryote. Its description in RNAcentral is "partial 16S ribosomal RNA". It matches the Rfam family "Bacterial small subunit ribosomal RNA". The record is from RNAcentral.
AGAGUUUGAUCCUGGCUCAGAACGAACGCUGGCGGCGUGCUUAAUACAUGCAAGUCGAACGAUAACGCCACCUUCGGGUGGUUAUUAAAGUGGCGAACGGGUGAGGAACACGUGGAUAAUCUUCCCUUAAACCUGGGAUAAUCCUCCGAAAGGGGGUCUAAUACCGGAUAAUAUUAUUUGAUGGCAUCAUCAGAUAGUCAAAGGCGGGGUAACCUGUCGUUUAGGGAUGAGUCCGCGCCCCAUUAGCUUGUUGGUAGGGUAAAAGCCUACCAAGGCUUCGAUGGGUAGCCGGCCUGAGAGGGCGACCGGCCACACUGGGACUGAGAUACGGCCCAGACUCCUACGGGAGGCAGCAGUAGGGAAUAUUGCGCAAUGGACGAAAGUCUGACGCAGCAACGCCGCGUGGGUGAUGAAGCAUCUUGGUGUGUAAAACCCUUUCAGUGGGGAAGAACCGUGCAAUGAGUAACUGCUUUGCACCUGACGGUACCCACAGAAGAAGUCCCGGCUAACUCCGUGCCAGCAGCCGCGGUAAUACGGGGGGGACAAGCGUUGUUCGGAUUUACUGGGCGUAAAGGGCGUGUAGGCGGACCUUCAAGUCGGAAGUGAAAACCGUUGGCUUAACCAGCGGCCUGCUUUCGAUACUGCCUGUCUUGAGUUCGUGAGAGGAAAGUGGAAUUCCAGGUGUAGCGGUGAAAUGCUUAGAUAUCCUGAGGAACACCAGUGGCGAAAGCGACUUUCUGGCACGAAACUGACGCUGAGGCUCGAAAGCGUGGGUAGCGAACGGGAUUAGAUACCCCGGUAGUCCACGCCGUAAACGUUGUGUACUAGGGUGCAGGAGGUAUCGACCCCUUCUGUGCCGCAGCUAACGCAUUAAGUACACCGCCUGGGGAGUACGCACGCAAGUGUGAAACUCAAAGGAAUUGACGGGGGCCCGCACAAGCGGUGGAGCAUGUGGUUUAAUUCGAGGCAACGCGAAGAACCUUACCCAGGCUUGACAUCCCUGAGACAACCGGUGAAAGUCGGCUUUCCCUUCGGGGACUCAUACACAGGUGCUGCAUGGCUGUCGUCAGCUCGUGCCGUGAGGUGUUGGGUUAAGUCCCGCAACGAGCGCAACCCUUGUCCAUAGUUGCCAUCAGGUCAUGCUGGGGACUCUAUGGAGACUGCCGGUGAUAAGCUGGAGGAAGGUGGGGAUGACGUCAAGUCAUCAUGGCCCUUAUACCCAGGGCUACACACGUACUACAAUGGUCGGUACAGUAGGAUGCAAGACCGCGAGGUGGAGCAAAACCUCAAAACCGGCCUCAGUUCAGAUUGGAGUCUGCAACUCGACUCCAUGAAGGUGGAAUCGCUAGUAAUCGCUGAUCAGCAGGCAGCGGUGAAUACGUUCCCGGGCCUUGUACACACCGCCCGUCAAGCCACGGAAGUUGGGAGCGCCCGAAGUCGUUUACCUAACCGCAAGGAAGGUGACGCCUAAGGUGAAACCGAUGACUGGGGCUAAGUCGUAACAAGGUA